Molecule: ribosomal RNA, 253 nt
Filed under: uncultured bacterium
Lineage: Bacteria
Description: partial 16S ribosomal RNA
Rfam family: Bacterial small subunit ribosomal RNA
Source: RNAcentral
UACGAAGGGGGCUAGCGUUGCUCGGAAUCACUGGGCGUAAAGGGUGCGUAGGCGGGUCUUUAAGUCAGGGGGGAAAUCCUGGAGCUCAACUCCAGAACUGCCUUUGAUACUGAAGAUCUUGAGUUCGGGAGAGGUGAGUGGAACUGCGAGUGUAGAGGUGAAAUUCGUAGAUAUUCGCAAGAACACCAGUGGCGAAGGCGGCUCACUGGCCCGAUACUGACGCUGAGGAGCGAAGGCGUGGGGAGCAAACAGG